Equus caballus (horse) is the source of this 1745-nucleotide long non-coding RNA. The record is from Ensembl. NCBI's taxonomy places the organism in Eukaryota, Metazoa, Chordata, Mammalia, Perissodactyla, Equidae.
CAAAACUACCGCUCCAAAACUUCUAUGGAAAAUCGCAUCUUCUUUUCUCUGAAGAAUUUACAUGGGGCUGAUUUUCCUGUUCUUGUUCUCAGUUAACAGCCUCAGUUUUGUUUUCCUCCAAGACAUUCCCUCUCCAGCCUUGGGAGUAACACCUCUGCUUGCACCCCAGCGCUCUGCCACUUGUAUCCACUGCUUUGCAAGUUGCUGGGGCCCUUUUAAAACACCUGAAGGUGCAGUGCCUUUUAAAAGCCAGGAACAAUGUAGCCAUCUGACCUCAUGGAUCUGCUUUCUAGGUGUCCUGAACCUGUGCAUGUUUGAUGUUUGGUAAGACCUGGGCGGUGGGGGGGUGGGUGGGGGUGGUGGUGACAGCUUGACAGCUGACAUCAGCACAGGACGCAAGAGCGGGCUCUGCCCUCACAGGGAGAGGAGCACAGGGACCUUUUUACUCACAGCUCAGAGCUUAGUUUCUCCCUGUAGCUUUGUCUGAGCAACCUUCACAAGCUCCGUGAGAGGAACCGGACGUGGGGCAUCUAGCAGAAACUAGUCCAUGACGCCUGUCUUCAGGGAGGCUGAGUGGCCUGCCUCUGGAACAAUGAUAACAGCCACCCCAGAUGCAGCGUUGGCUCUUCACUGACUACGCUAACUGUCAUUAUCCAUAUAAAUACUAGGCAGAUGGCUACACUGACAGAGACAUAUUACUGGCUGCGAUGUGCCUAAGACUGUCAAGAAUGCAACUGGUAAGAGAUGGGGAAGUACAAACCACCAAAGAUGCCAUCUGCCUGCGAGAAGCAUGUGGUCCCAUGAGAGUCGAGGUGACAGUGAGGAAGCCAGGAGACUUCGGAGCCUGCCUGGCUGCAUUUCUAACAGGUGGCCAGGCCCCAGCUGCUGGGAUACCCAAAGGACCCAGGUCUGUGUGGGCUGUAGGGGCCCCGUGCACAGUGUGGCUGCCUGCCUGACACGAGUUCACAAGGACCCUGCCAUGGAUGCUGAUCAUGUUGGCUGUCUAGCUUCAGAACUUUCUCCCUAUGUUUGUGCAAACAUUGGUGAGAGGCAGCAAAUGCCAGGUGCUUGUGCACGGGCACACCUCCAGCUGCCAGCUCCUGAGGUGUGCUGCCCGAGGGCGGCCCCAGAGCACACUGUGCAAAGGCAGGACACAGGGCGAGCAGGGAGUCCUGGGGAACGCACACUUUGCCUCCCACGCAGCAGCCCUCAACCAACUGUCCAGAGUGGCCGGGUAACUCGCUUGCCUGUCAGCAGCAUAGCUCUGAGACGCCGGGUCCACACUGUCUCCCAGAACUCCCCAAGCUCUAGUUACUCACAAGGGUAACUCACUUGAUAACACACCCUUUUUGCUUCACUCCCUCCCUGUCUGGUUUUCCCAUUCCCUUACCAAGGUUUCCUUGGAUCAUCUCCCAAAUAAACCACUUGCACUCAAAUCCUUGUUUUGGGGCUGCUUCUGGGGGAUCCCCACCUGGACUUGGACUCCCAGCCCUUGGCAACCAGGGCAUACAACUUAAGUCCAUGUGACCUCAAUGCUUCCACCUGAGACUUUUACCCUGGAGCAAAUGAAGAGUUGGGGGAAAUCUAGAAUCCCCCGAGGCCACCAGUGAGGGCCUCCCAUGUUGUGUCCAGCAAGGUACCUUGGCAGCACUGGUGCUGUCUGCAGACCGCGGGCAGCCAUGGGGGCAGUGGUGAUUUCCUCCCAGGACUGUUCCCAGGACACAACCUUGUGAUCCACCUGAUAU